Molecule: ribosomal RNA, 467 nt
Filed under: uncultured bacterium
Lineage: Bacteria
Description: partial 16S ribosomal RNA
Rfam family: Bacterial small subunit ribosomal RNA
Source: RNAcentral
ACGAACGCUGGCGGCGUGCUUAACACAUGCAAGUCGAACGGAAAGGCCCUGCUUUUGUGGGGUGCUCGAGUGGCGAACGGGUGAGUAACACGUGAGUAACCUGCCCUUGACUUUGGGAUAACUUCAGGAAACUGGGGCUAAUACCGGAUAGGAGCUCCUGCUGCAUGGUGGGGGUUGGAAAGUUUCGGCGGUUGGGGAUGGACUCGCGGCUUAUCAGCUUGUUGGUGGGGUAGUGGCUUACCAAGGCUUUGACGGGUAGCCGGCCUGAGAGGGUGACCGGCCACAUUGGGACUGAGAUACGGCCCAGACUCCUACGGGAGGCAGCAGUGGGGAAUAUGGCACAAUGGGCGGAAGCCUGAUGCAGAAACGCCGCGUGCGGGAUGACGGCCUUCGGGUUGUAAACCGCUUUCGCCUGUGACGAAGCGUGAGUGACGGUAAUGGGUAAAGAAGCACCGGCUAACUACGUG